Molecule: long non-coding RNA, 1342 nt
Organism: Apis mellifera (honey bee)
Lineage: Eukaryota; Metazoa; Arthropoda; Insecta; Hymenoptera; Apidae
Exons: 2
Source: RefSeq, a predicted model, not a curated record
GAAAUUCAUGAUUCUUAUGUUCAAAAAAAAAGAAUAUUCUAUAAAAAACGAAAAUUAUUAAUUAUUGUUAGUAUUGACAAUAAUCUUGUGUGAGAUGUUGGUAUUAAAUCUAUAAACAUUAAAUCUAUGAAGAAAAUUUUAUCAUGUAAUUAUUUUUACAAAUAUUUCUUUAAUUUUUUCACAUUAUUAUUUUUCACAAUUUGAAUCUUAAUUACAAAAUCUAAAAUCUAUUUAAAACAAUGACGAAUGUCUAUUCCAUAAAACAGUCAAUCAAAUAAACAAGAAAAUAGUUAAGCAUGCUACUGAAGCUCAGUGCAUUUGCACCUGCAGGUCUUCCCUGAAGAAUUAGUCACUAGAAGUGGAAUAAUCGUUAAGUAACACGAAAGGACGUUUUGUGCGAUCUUCUAAUGUAAACAAAGUAACCACGCUAACUAUUAUGUUUUGCAUUUUAGUAUGUUCGUCAGAUUCGCUAUGUUAAUUUUUGACUUAUACGAUGUAUUAACAAUCAAAAAAAUUUUAAAAAAUAUAUUUAAAAAAAUUAGCCAAUUUUGGUAAUUAUGACUUUAAAAAAUCAUUCAAUUUUUUGUUAUAAUUAAUUUCUUCGAUUAGAUUGAGUGAAACCUUUCUUGAUCAAAUUCCACUGCUGUAUAUUUGUGCUUGUAUUUGGAAACUGUUGGGAAUAGGAUAUUCAGAUGGUAACUCUGUCCAUGUUACAAAACAGAGACCUACAGAGAACUUCUCUUACUUCAACAUCUCACGAUGUCGACGACAUUCAUCCGACUAGCGUAUAACGUAUAGUGACCAUACGGCAUACGUACAGAUGCUUCAUCAUAAUAGUUUCUAUUUUCGGUUGGAGGGUUGGCUACACAUAGGUGCAGAUGUUCUGUUCUGCUAAAAGCAUUUGGGGGAGAAGGUCGAACUUGGUGCCACGUAUUUUCAAAAGAUUAAUAGGCAAAUAGAAGAAUUGAAUCUAGUUUUCAAUAAAAAACAUGUCUAAAAAUUAUAAAGUAAAGUCAGUCGUUUAUAAAAAUAAUGAAGCAUAAAUUAUGAAUUGGAAUUGGGAAAAAAAAAAUAUUUGUUUUUAUAUAUUUUAUUUUUUUAUAUAUAUUUAAUAUAUGUACUAUUAAAGUUUCUCGCUAGUAGUAUUGUAGAAUGAAGAUACAAAUUGAAGUCGUGAUGAAAAUACAAAAGAUACUAUGAAGACAUUGAACGAAUAAAUGAAAUACAGUAGUAAGCAUAGAAAAAAAAAUGAAUGAAAUGUAGCGACGUUGGCUAAGGACGGCCUUCAAAGUGUACUCGAAUACUCUGUUUGCUAACGCAAUAAAAGACUCGACUAUAGACA